Molecule: long non-coding RNA, 1415 nt
Filed under: Helianthus annuus (common sunflower)
Lineage: Eukaryota; Viridiplantae; Streptophyta; Magnoliopsida; Asterales; Asteraceae
Description: hypothetical non coding rna
Source: RNAcentral
AUGUCUGCGGGACCACCAAUUAAGAAAGCAUUCGGGAAUUCCGGAAAGUUCUUUAAAAAGCUUUCGAUCUUGUCAACUGUACAGAGGUCAGAUGAAGGAUGAUCAUAACUCAAGGAAACCUAUAGCCAUGGUUGUAAAAAUUGGUAGACGCUAAUCGGCCGUUGGGAUACGCGAUUAAUCGGAUUGGGAUUUUAUAUGUAAUUUUCAGUUUAUACACACACACAAACAUUUCUAUAUGUAAUCUUUCUAUGUAUACAGGUUUUAACCCCUUCUCAACCCAUUUUUUAAGUACACAGGAUUAGUCGCCAGAAUUUACAGGUUUUGGCCGGAAUCUGGCCGGAAUCGUCUAUUUCCGGCUGACCAGCAAUUAAUUGACUGAUUACAUAAAAAUUAAUUAGUGGCCGACCAAUUAGCGGCUAGUAGCUGAUUAGUCCUGAUUUUUCCGAUGCUGACUGUAGCUUAACAAAAGUUACAUACCCAUUUGUGAAAAAGAAGGGCAAAAAUAUGAGAAGCGAACGGCUGGCUCCAGAGUUGAACAAUCAAAACAAGAAUCGGUUUCCCAUGUUCAGGUUCCAAGGAAAAAUGAUCAGCAAGAACAUCGUAAAAGCAUAUGGGAAUCUUUACUUCUAUUAAUGAAUCAGAAGCUGCAUCUUCUCUGCCAAGAAUUAUGUCUGUUCCAAGUCCAAAAAACCUUGGUGAAAAAUAAAAUAAGAUAAUAUAAUUGUUGGCGUUUUGCACCCUCAAUAAUGACUGGCACUAAUUUACCUCUUAUGGCUGAUUGAAAACAUUUUGUUAACAUAGUAAAUAUAGAAUUUAUAGGUAACUGAUAAAUAAAGCUGUUAGAAGGCGUCACGUAUAUAGUCGUCAAUAGCGAAUAGUUGACAAUAGCGACAAGCUAUUAUAUUUUAUUAAUAUAUGCUAUUUUUACAUGUAUAUUUCAUCUCAAUACGCUUCUUUUUUCAAUCAUAAAAAAAACUAAUGGCUAUUUAUAAUUAUAAAACAAUUAAAAAAUAACAGAAAAGGUCGCUAUUUGUUGCUAUAAAGCCUAUAGCGCCAUAUGGGCUCCACGCUACGUAGUGCGCUAUAGCUGCUAUUGACAACUAUGGUCACAUAAAAGAAGUUUGGCAAGGAAACAGUUAUUAUAAAGCCACAUUCAGAUGAGCUUAUGUUUGGAAUCUAUCCGAUACACAUACACUACAAAUUCUAACCUUGCAUUCAAUGUAAGGCCACUGUUCUAUACAGCAGGAUAACCACCAUGCCAUUUCUAAAUUCUAACUCAGUAAUAAAACAGUUAUAUACUUCCCGAGUCCCUAGACAACGUAGUUCCAAAAACAAAAUCAUAUGACCACGUGCCAUUUAAAGCGUCUUCUUAUGUCCUUUUCUUUCCCCUACAUAUCUAACAACAUAGCAGUAAC